UACGGAGGGAGCUAGCGUUGUUCGGAAUUACUGGGCGUAAAGCGCGCGUAGGCGGCUUUGUAAGUUAGAGGUGAAAGCCCGGGGCUCAACUCCGGAAUUGCCUUUAAGACUGCAUCGCUAGAAUCCGGGAGAGGUGAGUGGAAUUCCGAGUGUAGAGGUGAAAUUCGUAGAUAUUCGGAAGAACACCAGUGGCGAAGGCGACUAACUGGACAUGUAUUGACGCUGAGGUACGAAAGCGUGGGGAGCAAACAGG
RNAcentral lists this ribosomal RNA (253 nucleotides) under uncultured bacterium. Its description in RNAcentral is "partial 16S ribosomal RNA". It matches the Rfam family "Bacterial small subunit ribosomal RNA", at positions 524 to 776 of the family's 1533-position model. The record is from RNAcentral.